Molecule: ribosomal RNA, 784 nt
Filed under: Meliphilopsis sp. JS-2010
Lineage: Eukaryota; Metazoa; Arthropoda; Insecta; Hymenoptera; Apidae
Description: SSU rRNA
Rfam family: Eukaryotic small subunit ribosomal RNA
Source: RNAcentral
CGGGGAGGUAGUGACGAAAAAUAACGAUACGGGACUCAUCCGAGGCCCCGUAAUCGGAAUGGGUACACUUUAAAUCCUUUAACGAGGACCAAUUGGAGGGCAAGUCUGGUGCCAGCAGCCGCGGUAAUUCCAGCUCCAAUAGCGUAUAUUAAAGUUGUUGCGGUUAAAAAGCUCGUAGUUGAAUCUGUGUGUCACAGUGUCGGUUCACCGUCCGCGGUGUCUAACUGACAUUAUGUGGUACGUCCUACCGGUGGGCUUAGCUCCUUGCGGGCGGUCCAACUAAUCUCCCAUCGCGGUGCUCUUCACUGAGUGUCGAGGUGGGCCGGUACGUUUACUUUGAACAAAUUAGAGUGCUCAAAGCAGGCUACCUUCGCCUGAAUACUGCGUGCAUGGAAUAAUGGAAUAGGACCUCGGUUCUAUUUUGUUGGUUUUCGGAACCCCGAGGUAAUGAUUAAUAGGGACAGAUGGGGGCAUUCGUAUUGCGACGUUAGAGGUGAAAUUCUUGGAUCGUCGCAAGACGGACUAAAGCGAAAGCAUUUGCCAAAAAUGUUUUCAUUAAUCAAGAACGAAAGUUAGAGGUUCGAAGGCGAUCAGAUACCGCCCUAGUUCUAACCAUAAACGAUGCCAGCUAGCGAUCCGCCGAAGUUCCUCCGAUGACUCGGCGGGCAGCUUCCGGGAAACCAAAGCUUUUGGGUUCCGGGGGAAGUAUGGUUGCAAAGCUGAAACUUAAAGGAAUUGACGGAAGGGCACCACCAGGAGUGGAGCCUGCGGCUUAAUUUGACUC